ACUCAAAUGAAUAGACGGGGGCCCGCACAAGCGGAGGAACAUGUGGUUUAAUUCGAUGAUACGCGAGGAACCUUACCCGGGCUUGAAAUGCAUCUGACAGGAGCAGAGACGCUCUCUUCCUUCGGGACAGAUGUGUAGGUGCUGCAUGGUUGUCGUCAGCUCGUGCCGUGAGGUGUCGGCUUAAGUGCCAUAACGAGCGCAACCCUCAUCAUUAGUUACCAUCAGGUUAAGCUGGGGACUCUAAUGAGACUGCCAUCGUAAGAUGCGAGGAAGGUGGGGAUGACGUCAAAUCAGCACGGCCCUUACGUCCGGGGCGACACACGUGUUACAAUGGGUGGUACAAAGGGCAGCUACAUGGCGACAUGAUGCUAAUCUCCAAAACCACUCUCAGUUCGGAUCGGAGUCUGCAACUCGACUUCGUGAAGCUGGAUUCGCUAGUAAUCGCGCAUCAGCCACGGCGCGGUGAAUACGUUCCCGGGCCUUGCACACACCGCCCGU
Molecule: ribosomal RNA, 498 nt
Filed under: uncultured archaeon
Lineage: Archaea
Description: bacterial SSU rRNA
Rfam family: Bacterial small subunit ribosomal RNA
Source: RNAcentral